Molecule: long non-coding RNA, 171 nt
Organism: Saccostrea echinata
Lineage: Eukaryota; Metazoa; Mollusca; Bivalvia; Ostreida; Ostreidae
Exons: 3
Source: RefSeq, a predicted model, not a curated record
UGAAUCGAAACUGGCAGCCACCAGCAUCUGGUACAAAUAAAUCUAAGCCAGACAAAGACAAUCCUUCAGAAGGUCCAAAUGAAGCCAUGGUGCAGAGGGUCACAAGUAAACCAGACAAUGCCUAUUUUUUGGUUGAGAAAAAGAUAAAAGAAAACUCGGCUUCAACUGAAG